This 253-nucleotide ribosomal RNA is filed under the name uncultured bacterium. RNAcentral describes it as "partial 16S ribosomal RNA". It matches the Rfam family "Bacterial small subunit ribosomal RNA", at positions 524 to 776 of the family's 1533-position model. The record is from RNAcentral.
UACGUAGGUGUCGAGCGUUAUCCGGAAUUACUGGGCGUAAAGGGCACGCAGGCGGCUGUUCAAGUCCGGCGUGAAAACUCCCGGCUUAACUGGGAGAGGCCGUGGGAAACUGAACAGCUUGAGGCAAUGAGAGGGAUGCGGAAUUCCCGGUGUAGUGGUGGAAUGCGUAGAUAUCGGGAAGAACACCAGUGGCGAAAGCGGCAUCCUGGCAUUGGCCUGACGCUCAUGUGCGAAAGCGUGGGUAGCGAACGGG